RNAcentral lists this non-coding RNA (87 nucleotides) under uncultured Clostridium sp. RNAcentral's name for it is "yjdF RNA". It matches the Rfam family "azaaromatic riboswitch aptamer (yjdF RNA)", at positions 5 to 92 of the family's 101-position model. Lineage: Bacteria; Bacillati; Bacillota; Clostridia; Eubacteriales; Clostridiaceae. The record is from RNAcentral.
GCAAAGAUAAAAACACAGUUCCGGUUGGUAGUCCGGACGCAGUUUAAACUGUAAGUAACCUGCCUCCUUGGUUGUCCGUUCUUUGCA